RNAcentral lists this long non-coding RNA (4865 nucleotides) under Sus scrofa (pig). Its description in RNAcentral is "lncRNA (ENSSSCG00040052379.1)". Lineage: Eukaryota; Metazoa; Chordata; Mammalia; Artiodactyla; Suidae. The record is from RNAcentral.
GAAGUUCCCAGGCUAAGGGUGAAAGCAGAGCUGCAGCUGCCAACCUACACCACAGCCACAGCAACAUGGGAUUCAAACCAUGUCUGCGACCUACACCACAGCUCACUGCAACACCAGAUCCUUAGCCCACUGAGUGAGGCCAGUGAUGGAACCCGCAUCCUCAGAAGAAGAAGAGCCAGCAAAGCUCUCUCUCUGCCAUGUGAGCGAACAGCUAGAAGACGGCCAUCUGCGAGCCAGAAAGAGAGCUCUCACCAGAAACUGACCCUGGGGACACCUUGACCUUGACCUUCCAGCCUCCACUACUAUGAGAAAUAACUUUCUGUUGUUUAUGCCUCGAGGUUUGUGGUAUUUUGUUAUGGCAGCCUGAGCAGACUAACUCUGGGGGCGGGGGGUGGAAGUAUCACUGGGGCAGAGAUGGCCUGGAGUCUCCUAUGUGAACUUCCAGAAGCUGGACAGUCAUUCGUGAAACAUCCUUGGUGAACAGAUGAGAGAGAGAGUGAAAGAACCUGGCCCACUUCCACCAAGCCGUCCCUCUGGAUGGCAGGGAUGAGGUCUGAGAACAAGAAGACAAGCGUACUUGGACCUCUAGUUUGGCCUCUCAGAGGGAGGAAGAAAUCAAGCACAUGUCUCUUCAUCCUCAUUCUCUACAACAAAGGGUGCCUCUGGCAUACCAGCCCUGUCUUCUCAAGACAGCGACCUUAAAUAACCACUGUACUUACUGGUUUCCAAAUGCAGAGUUGGGCUGCAAAGGCCAAGUUGUCCUUUCAUUGCCCUCUUGCAAUGGAAUGAUUGCAAAUGUCCCAUCCCCAAGCAACAUGGCAUUUGUCCUCAAAAGUAGGACAGAACCCUGUUGGGAAGAGCAGUUUCUGGGUCAUUGCCCGGAGAGCCUCUGUCAGCAUGGUCACCACGUGAGCAGAGCCACAGCCAUCCGCAGGGACGGCUUGGUGGAUGUGGUCCAGGUUCUUUCAAACUUGAAUGUCGACAGAAAUUCGACAUUCAAAAGUAGUGCCACAGGAAGUGGCAUCUCCCUAUUACUAACAGACACCACAAGGUGGGUUUAAUCUGUCCAAUCAGGCAGAGUCUAGGAUUACAGCCACAUGCAAAGUGAAAAUGUGGGAACCUUCAGAAAUGUGACAGUUUUGCAUCCUUCAUACUCAUUAAAAAGAUGUUUCAAAGUCCCUGCUGUGACACAGUGGGUUAAGGAUCUGGUGUUGCUGCAGCUGUGGUCUAGGUUGCAGCUGCAGCUCAUAUUUGAUCCCUGGCCUGGGAACUUCCAUGUGCCUUGGGUACGGCCAAAAAAGAGAAAAAAAGAUAUUUCAAGUAAAGUGGGAAGUGCAUAUCACAUUUAUUUGUGAUCAGAUGCAAGAGAUUUCAAUUAUGGAAAUACUACCUCCUUCCUUUUUUUUUGGAUUCCACUUUUAAAACUGAAAAAUUAAUCUUUUCCUUGAGAAUUGGGUCUUAAGGGGGGCAACAUCACAGCAAGAAUUUAUUUGCAAGGAAAAAGCUUCAUUUUAAAAGCCUGCUUUGAAAAUAUCUUGGUAUUUUGAGGACCCUUUAAGUUAAACUCUUUGCUCUUCCAUUUUUAAAAUUUUUUUAAUUUUAAUUUUAAUUUUUUAUUUUUUUAAAUUACUCCAUGAAUUUUACUGCAUUUAUAGGUGUACAAUGAUCAUCACAACCAAAUUUUAUGGCACUUCCAUCCCAAACCCUCAGUGCAUCCCUCCACCCCCCAACCUGUCUCAUUUGGAAACCAUAAGUUUUUCAAAGUCUAUGAGUCAGUAUCUGUUGUGCAAAGAAGUUCAUUGUGUCCUUUUUUAGAUUCUGCAUGUAAGUGAUAGUAUUUGAUGUUGGUGUCUCAUUGUGUGACUGAUUUCACUCAGCAUGACAAUUUCUAGGGCCAUCCAUGUUUCUGCAAAUGCCAUUAUUUCUUUCCUUUUAAUGGCUGAGUAAUAUUCCAUGGUGUGUAUGUACCACAUCUUUUUUAUCCACUCCUCUGCUGAUGGACAUUUAGGUUGUUUCCAUGUCUUGGUUAUUGCAAAUAGCACUGCAAAGAACAUUGGAGUACAUGUGUCUAUUUCAGUCAUGGUUUUCUCUGGAUUGAUGCCCCAGGGUGGGAUUGCCAGAUCAAAUGGUAGUUCUAUUUUUAGUUUUCUGAGGAAUCUCCUUGCCCUCCCAUUUAUCCAGGAACAUUUGCUUGUCCUUGGAUGGCAUUUUAUUUUGCUAAUCUUUUAGUAAAACAAACAAGUGAUGUGUGGCCAACACAUUUGGGAGCUGUGUUAUCUUUUGAUUCAUCCAGAUGGUGACUCUCCAGACCAUUCCACAAAGGCAGCCUGCACCUAAGGAGCAGGAUGCACACGGUUUGGUCGGCGUGCCUGGGGAGCGCCUGUGUCUCCAGCUCUUUCCCCCCAAUGGGCUGGGCUUUGAGUGAGGGUGCAGAUGGUGCAGCUGGCAGGGCUAUUGAUCCUCUCAGGCCCCUCGUUUCAGGCAAAGCCUGCCUGCCUCACCCUUGGCUGGGUAAUCCCCAGUCCAGCUGGAGGCAGGGACAGAAACAUUUGCGGGGCCCAGGUCUGUCUGUUUGCUCUCGGAGCCAGACUGGCCUGUUCCUUGCAGGUCUCCUGGGAGGCUGUGGCUUCCUUGAAUUUCUGAUUAACUCUUCCUUGACUGAGUCUAUGGGGGAUCCUGGGCAACCGCACUGGGGAACUCUGUCCUUGGCUUUGCAUCCCACCAAUGCCACACCGCACAUACCAUAUACAACACACACAGCACACCACAUGCACACAUAUCACACCACAUACAUAAACAUUGCACCACACACACCACACACCACAUGUGCGCAUACCACACCACAUACACAAACACCACUCCACACACACGUCCUAACACCACACCGCAUACACACAUACACACACCACAUUUAUACUCCACACCCCACACCACCUGCACAAACACCACACCCCAAAGGCCACACCACACACACAAGCAUUAAACUACACACAAAACAUUACAUGCACAAACAAUGCACCACACACCCCAUACCACGUGCACAAACACUGCAACACACACAGCAUACCAUGUGCACAUAUUACACACCACAUGCACAAACACCACACCACAUACACACCCUAUAUACCACAUAUGCGCCAUACCUCAUGCAUGCACACUACACCACACACACACACACACACACACACACCACGUACACACCCCACAUACAUCACAUGCACAUAUAAAACACCACAUGAACAAACACCACACCACAUACACACCCUACAUGCUACACUAUACACCCCCACAUAUCACAUCACACGCAUACACGCCACACAUACACACACACACUCUCCCUCUGCCUCCAAUGCAUACUGCACAUCUCCCACACCUGCAGUCCACCCGCUGUUUUCUUAUUGGCUCCCUGACCCUUCGCAUCAAAGGGAUUCCUGAGGCAAAGCCUGCAAGGUUUCCUCCCCAGAAAGAGCCCUUCCUGAGGACACUGAGAAUAAGGGAACACAUCAGUCUGUUUUUCCGGCCAGUUGUUCAUUCCCUACAUUUCUGACAUCUGUGAUGCACCAGAUCUUCCGAGUCUUGCAAGGGGGUGGGAGUGGGGGCCGAGAGCGUGGGCACAGCCUGCUUCCAUUCAGCCUGGAGCCUGGGUGUGGGGCGUGGCGAGAACAUGUCAGUGAACAUGAAAAUCACAGCAGUGGACACGAGGAAGAGGGCUAAGACCCACAACCCUGGAGGAGGAGACGUGUGAGGAGAGCUGAUGGCAGGAGAAGCACAGCCGUGACUGUGCCUGCAGAGGGUGGAGGACAGCAGGGGGGGUCCAUGGUGGGACAGGGCCCAGCAUCCAGGAUGAGGAAGACCUGGGGCUGCCUGGGGUGGUGCUAGGAGUCUGAGGGUCCUGUAUGCAAGGUCAUCCCUCCCUGAAGGUAGAGGUGGUGAUGAGGGGACAUGGGGGGGUCCUGGAAGCUUGGAGAUGAGCAGCAGGAUUGGAGGUUCUGGAGCACAGAGGUGGAAAGCCCAGUGGGGAUGGAGGGGCUGAGGUUGGAAGGGGAGGGUCCUGGGCCUGCACAGACAUCAGCAACUGGGAAGGACAGGGCCAAGGUCAUGGUCUGCUUUUAAUUUCACUUUUCUCAACUUAUGGUUUGAAAUGAUUUUGGAUGUACAGGAGAGCUGCAAGGAUCGAGUUUGCAUAUACAAUCUACUUGGGUUCCUUCAUGUUAGCAUCUUCCAUCAGCACAGUACAUUUGCCAAAACCGAGAAAUUAUCAGUGGUGAAUACUGCUAGUUAAACCACACACUCUGUCUGGACCCCCUUUUCCAAUGGGACUCAAUCCAGGACACCAGGGCCCAUUAAGAUAUCCUGCUUCCCCAUCUCCCCCCCAAAAAGAAUUCUGUCCCUAAUCUUGACACUUUGGAAGAGUUCUGGUCAGUUAUUCUGUAGAAUUUUCCCCAAGGCUGAGUUUGAUGCUUAUCAUGAUUAGAUCAUGGCCGAGGAUUUUUGUGCAGAUACCACAGAGGGGAGGUGCCCUUCUCACCACUCGCUAUCAGCGCCUGUGUAAUUUCAACUAGAUUUCUUCCUGCGCCUGUUGGUUAAGGGUGUCUGCCAGGUUUCUCCACUGGCCAGUGACUUUCCUUUUCUUUCUUUUUUUUUUUUUUUUUUUUUUUUUUUUGUUAGAAGUGAAUGACUCGUCCAACCCAGGCUCAAGAGGAGAGACGUGAAACACCAGCUCCUAGAAGGGCAGGGUCCAGAAUGUGUGGGAUGCUGUUAAAUCCACCACAGUAAUUAUGAAUGCUGUUCACAGUGUUAUUAUUAUUAUUGUUCUAGUUUAGAGGUUGCCUUUCUUUCUAUAACUAGGUGGCAAUUUUAUCUGU